GACGAACCGUCCAAACGUUAUUCGGAAUCACUGGGCUUAAAGGGUGCGUAGGCGGCGCGGAAAGUUGGGUGUGAAAUCCCUCGGCUCAACCGAGGAACUGCGCCCAAAACUACCGUGCUCGAGGAAGAUAGAGGUGAGCGGAACUUAGGGUGGAGCGGUGAAAUGCGUUGAUAUCCUAAGGAACACCGGUGGCGAAAGCGGCUCACUGGAUCUUUUCUGACGCUGAGGCACGAAAGCUAGGGUAGCGAACGGG
This 253-nucleotide ribosomal RNA is filed under the name uncultured bacterium. RNAcentral's name for it is "partial 16S ribosomal RNA". It matches the Rfam family "Bacterial small subunit ribosomal RNA", at positions 524 to 776 of the family's 1533-position model. The record is from RNAcentral.